CCUGUGUAUACGCCCUUAACUACAAUUAGGCAUGAUCUAACGCUAGCCACUUUAUUGUAGCCUAGCUACCAUACCAACAUGACAUACUUCUAAAGCAAUAAUAAAACAGUGCAUCUCCCCGGCAGCGGCGGGGAGUGCAGCACCCCCUACCUGCAGCACGGCGUAGUUGCUGAGCACGGAGCAGCGCAGGGUGGAGAUGGUGGCGUCGCUGUGGGCCAGCUGGCAGCCUUCCUGGCUCCAACCCCCCUGCAGCUCCAGGGCCUGGGGGCUCCAGUGAGCCGCCAUGGGGUCGCUGCCCGGAGACGCGUGCCGAAGGGACACCACGAUGGGGUCCGAGCGGUUCCACAUGUCACAGCCGUCUGACGGAGAGAGGAAGGGGACUCAGACCGCGAGCACUGGGACUCAUGUACAUGCUAUAGAUUCAUCUUCUGCAUUCUGCACAGAAAACUAUUCACAAUUACUCUCAUUGAUUUGUCUAAAAAAAUCAAUUACUUGAUUUGUCAGUGUGUGGUUUAUUAUUGAUGACUUGGGGUCAGUCAGCCUUAGGAUGGGAAUUUUUAAAACAUUUCAUUGGUACUGUGUGCACUGAGUCUCGUGGAUUUAUAUGGGCCUGGUAUAGAUUUAUUUUGUGUUUUCUGUGCUGAUAAUUGUUCAAAACUACUCAUUGAUUUGUCAGUGCACGGUAUAUUAUUGAUGACUUGGGUUCGAUCAGCUUUCUCAAUGAAAAUUUGUCAGAAUGAAGGGAAUUUAAAAAAUGUUUAAUAGUUUC
Molecule: long non-coding RNA, 769 nt
Organism: Conger conger (European conger)
Lineage: Eukaryota; Metazoa; Chordata; Actinopteri; Anguilliformes; Congridae
Exons: 2
Source: RefSeq, a predicted model, not a curated record